This 497-nucleotide ribosomal RNA is filed under the name uncultured bacterium. Its description in RNAcentral is "partial 16S ribosomal RNA". It matches the Rfam family "Bacterial small subunit ribosomal RNA", at positions 28 to 507 of the family's 1533-position model. The record is from RNAcentral.
GAUGAACGCUGGCGGCGUGCCUAAUACAUGCAAGUCGAGCGAACAGACGCGGAGCUUGCUCCUCUGACGUUAGCGGCGGACGGGUGAGUAACACGUGGAUAACCUACCUAUAAGACUGGGAUAACUUCGGGAAACCGGAGCUAAUACCGGAUAAUAUAUUGAACCGCAUGGUUCAAUAGUGAAAGACGGUUUUGCUGUCACUUAUAGAUGGAUCCGCGCCGCAUUAGCUAGUUGGUAAGGUAACGGCUUACCAAGGCAACGAUGCGUAGCCGACCUGAGAGGGUGAUAGGCCACACUGGAACUGAGACACGGUCCAGACUCAUACGGGAGGCAGCAGUAGGGAACCCUCCGCCAUGGGCGAAAGCCUGACGGAGCACCGCCGCGUGAGUGACGACGGUCUUCGGACCGUAAAACUCUGUUCUUAGGGAAGAACAAAUGUGUAAGUACCUAUGCACGUCUUGACGGUACCUAAUCAGAAAGCCACGGCUCCCUACGUG